AGAGUUUGAUCAUGGCUCAGAACGUACGCUGGCGGCACGCCUAACACAUGCAAGUCGAACGAAGUAGCAAUACUUAGUGGCAGACGGGUGAGUAACAUGUAGGUAUCUACCCUUUGGCCUGGAAUAACACGAGGAAACUUGUGCUAAUACCGGAUAAGUCUUUACAGAGAAAGCUUUAUGCACCAUUGGAUGAGCCUGCACUUGAUUAGUUUGUUGGUGGGGUAAUGGCCUACCAAGACUUUGAUCAAUAGCUGAUUUGAGAGGAUGAUCAGCCACAUUGGGACUGAGACACGGCCCAAACUCCUACGGGAGGCAGCAGUGGGGAAUCUUGCACAAUGGAGGAAACUCUGAUGCAGCGAUGCCGCGUGAGUGAAGAAGGCCUUUGGGUUGUAAAGCUCUUUCGUCGGGGAAGAAAAUGACUGUACCCGAAUAAGAAGGUCCGGCUAACUUCGUGCCAGCAGCCGCGGUAAUACGAAGGGACCUAGCGUAGUUCGGAAUUACUGGGCUUAAAGAGUUCGUAGGUGGUUGAAAAAGUUGGUGGUGAAAUCCCAGAGCUUAACUCUGGAACUGCCAUCAAAACUUUUCAGCUAGAGUUUGAUAGAGGAAAGCAGAAUUUCUAGUGUAGAGGUGAAAUUCGUAGAUAUUAGAAAGAAUACCAAUUGCGAAGGCAGCUUUCUGGAUCAUUACUGACACUGAGGAACGAAAGCAUGGGUAGCGAAGAGGAUUAGAUACCCUCGUAGUCCAUGCCGUAAACGAUGUGUGUUAGACGUUGGAAAUUUAUUUUCAGUGUCGCAGCGAAAGCGAUAAACACACCGCCUGGGGAGUACGACCGCAAGGUUAAAACUCAAAUGAAUUGACGGGGACCCGCACAAGUAGUGGAGCAUGU
Molecule: ribosomal RNA, 886 nt
Filed under: uncultured bacterium
Lineage: Bacteria
Description: bacterial SSU rRNA
Rfam family: Bacterial small subunit ribosomal RNA
Source: RNAcentral